RNAcentral lists this ribosomal RNA (537 nucleotides) under Paenibacillus amylolyticus. RNAcentral's name for it is "bacterial SSU rRNA". It matches the Rfam family "Bacterial small subunit ribosomal RNA", at positions 41 to 556 of the family's 1533-position model. The record is from RNAcentral. Lineage: Bacteria; Bacillati; Bacillota; Bacilli; Caryophanales; Paenibacillaceae.
GGCUGCCUAAUACAUGCAAGUUCGAGCGGAGUUGAUGAGAAGCUUGCUUUCUCUGAUGGUUAGCGGCGGACGGGUGAGUAACACGUAGGCAACCUGCCCUCAAGUUUGGGACAACUACCGGAAACGGUAGCUAAUACCGAAUAAUUGUUUUCUUCGCCUGAAGGAAACUGGAAAGACGGAGCAAUCUGUCACUUGGGGAUGGGCCUGCGGCGCAUUAGCUAGUUGGUGAGGUAACGGCUCACCAAGGCGACGAUGCGUAGCCGACCUGAGAGGGUGAUCGGCCACACUGGGACUGAGACACGGCCCAGACUCCUACGGGAGGCAGCAGUAGGGAAUCUUCCGCAAUGGGCGAAAGCCUGACGGAGCAAUGCCGCGUGAGUGAUGAAGGUUUUCGGAUCGUAAAGCUCUGUUGCCAGGGAAGAACGCUUGGGAGAGUAACUGCUCUCAAGGUGACGGUACCUGAGAAGAAAGCCCCGGCUAACUACGUGCCAGCAGCCGCGGUAAUACGUAGGGGGCAAGCGUUGUCCGGAAUUAUUG